UAGGAGAGACUUGCAGGCGUUAAGACUGGGCUGAGUUUGUGGCACGCUUAGUGAUGGGAUGGCGCUGUGCAGGACACAGACACAAAAAGAUGAGUUCAAACCGUGCUGUCUGAACUCAGCGUAGUGGGCGAGAUUGACAGGAGGAUCGGUAGGGUGGGAGAUGCCGGGAAGUCUUCCUUGAGACUGGAUUAGAAAACAAAAAUCUGGCGAAAUUGGCGGCAGGAGGGAGUUAAGGACGUUCCAGGCAGAGGCAAGGUAAUUGACUCCAUCGAUGACUAUCUGAACAAGCUCCACCUUUGACAGUGAAGAAGAUGAAUUAUUAAUUUGAAUAGAAGACACUUGCAGGGCAUUGAUUAACAGCAACAAUACUGGGAUAAAUGAGAACUUGCCACUUAGAUGGACUUCACAACAAUUUCUUCCUUCUCAAAGAUGAAAGUUAUUUCCCAUGGAAGAAUAAUGUUACAGAAUGAAAAGCUAACAUAACUCAGGACUCGAUGGGUGAAAAGGAGGUCUCGAAUUCUGUGAAAACGGGAACUGCCUUCAGUUCCUUGUAACAGAAGAAUCCAAAAGGGUGGACCUGAAGGAGGAGGUCUGCAGGCAUUUGCCUCGGCAGAAAGGCUACUCUGUGGAGGGGAUGCAUGGUGGCUGCGUUCUGCUCCAGCCGACCACUCUGUGCUUCUGCACGGAGGAUGAGGACGCUGUUUGACAGACCAGGUGUGCUUUUGAACUUUGCCACUAGACCACAACUAGACCCUGAACAGGAUGGAUUUCUGGACUUCUGAAAGGUAGGAGAAAUUUCUGAGGACCACCUGUCUGCUCUGCUAAAGUUGGGAUGCCAGCAAUAGGGAUGGGGGCUGAGACUGGGAUUCCCUCAUUGGAGUAGGACCUUUGAAAGAGGUUGAAGUGGCACAAAGUCAGCAGACCCCAUCCUCUGACUCCCACCUGAAGCAGGCCUAAAAGCUCUCUGAGGAAAUUAUAUUCAGUUUAGGCCCUGGAUUCCUACAGAUUAAAAUGAAAGAACAAACCCCCAAAGAUUACCAAACACACAAAGAGGUGCAAUGAAUAAGAGUCAACAGAAGAAGUAACAGAUUUAGCCUGCUAGACUGAAGAUGCUUAGAACUGUCAAACAAUAAUACAAAUAAGCCCUAGAUUGAAUGUUUAAAGAACUAAGUGUGGAAUCAUAAUUAUGAGCAAGCAACAAGAGACUAUUAAGAAUGACCAAGCUGAUUUGAAAGAACUAAAUUAAACUAUACAUUAUGACACAGCUGAACAUAGAACAGAUGAACUGGAAGAUAUUAUCUUAAGAAAUUUCUCAGAAUAUAUCACAGAGAAGUGAGAAAAUGGAAAAUAGAUAUAAAUUAAGAGAUAUGAUGGAUAGAAUGUCAAGCUCAAAUACACAUCAAAUUGAAGUCCCAGAAAGACAGAAUAGAGAAAACAGAGAAGUCAAAUUUGAAGAGGAAUAACAGACAUUUUUAGAACUGAUAAAAGACAAAAAUCCAUGAUUCAAGAGAUAUAACAUCUAAGUAAACAAAAAAAUUGAUACCUAGACAAAUAAUAAUGAAACUGCAGAUUAUCGGUGACCAAGAUGUGAAAAGCAGUCAGAAAGAAAAGACACUUUACCUACAAAGAAAUGACAAACAUGAGCUGAUUUUUCAGUAAUGAGCCCAGGUAAAUAAUAUUUUUAGAACCAAUAACUAUUAACCUAGAACUGGGGGACUAGUCUAACCAUUUUUUCAAAAAUGAGAGUGAAAAAACAUACUGAUAAAAAACAGAUCAAUAACAAAGGAAUUACUAAACUAUAUGCUUGACAAAGGAAAUGACAGUAAAAGGAGAGCCUAAAAGGCAGAAAAUGGAGAAAGCACAUAUAAAUCUAAAUAAUAUUUAUAUACUUAUUUAUAAUACAAGUACUAAACUACCAACAAGUGAUGAAAAACAGGGUAAACAUGCACAGACAGAAGCCCUGCUGGGUCUGCUAGUGCCCCGAGAUUAGGUGGGCCAGUUAGCCCUACAGUAUUACCUAGCAGGAGCUAUGCGACAUGGCUCUUUGAGUAGAGAACAAAAGAUCAGGUACCUCUCAGUACUUACUCUCUGAUAUUCAUGAUGCCUAUAUAAAGAAUGUAUGGGCCAGCCACGGUGGCUCAUGCCUGUAAUCCCAGCACUGGGAGGCUGAGG
Sapajus apella (tufted capuchin) is the source of this 2172-nucleotide long non-coding RNA. RefSeq lists it as uncharacterized. The record is from RefSeq and is a predicted model, not a curated record. Lineage: Eukaryota; Metazoa; Chordata; Mammalia; Primates; Cebidae. The transcript is spliced from 5 exons.